GUGUGGAUAGGGGAGAAAUUCCAAUCGAACCCGGAGAUAGCUGGUUCUCCUCGAAAUAGCUUUAGGGCUAGCCUCGUAUUAGUCUCAUGGAGGUAGAGCACUGAAUUCCCGCGGGGGCGUCAAAGCUUACCAAAGGAUAUCAAACUCCGAAUGCCAGUAAGAUGAUUCAUGGGAGUCAGACUACACGAGAUAAGUUGGGUAGUCAAAAGGGAAAGAGCCCAGACCUGCAGCUAAGGUCCCAAAAUGUGUGUUAAGUGGAAAAGGAUGUGGGAUUUCAAAGACAACCAGGAUGUUGGCUUAGAAGCAGCCAUACAUUAAAAGAGUGCGUAAUAGCUCACUGGUCGAGAGGUCCUGCGCCGAAAAUGUCCGGGGCUGAAACACACUACCGAAGCUCAGGAAUUAACGUAGUUAAUUGGUAGAGGAGCAUUCUUAAAGGGAAGAAGCAGUACCGGAAGGAGCUGUGGACUUUUAAGAAGAGAGAAUGCCGGAAUGAGUAGCGAGAGGAAGGUGAGAAUCCUUCCGGCCGAAUACCCAAGGUUUCCAGAGUAAAGCUGAUCUGCUCUGGGUAAGUCGGGGCCUAAGGUGAGGUCGAAAGACGUAGCCGAUGGACAACAGGUUGAAAUUCCUGUACUGCAGUAUAACAGAACUGUGGGGACGCAGAGGGAGAGCACUAGCGGGAAUGGAAUCCCGUGGCAAGCGAGGUAGGAGUCGCGUUGGCAAAUCCGCGUGACAAUCCGAAGACGUGAUGCAUACCGAACAAAAGUAGGGAAAUGUGUGAGCCAGCUGCCAAGAAAAGCCGCUAUUGUUUGUACUGUACCCGUACCGUAAACCGACACAGGUAGGUGAGGAGAGAAUCCUAAGGCCGACGGGAGAAGCAUUGUUAAGGAACUCGGCAAAAUGACUCCGUAACUUCGGGAGAAGGAGUGCCAGUGAGAGCUGGCCGCAGAGAAUUGGCCCAAGCAACUGUUUAGCAAAAACACAGGUCUAUGCAAAACCGUAAGGUGAAGUAUAUGGGCUGACGCCUGCCCGGUGCUGGAAGGUUAAGGGGAGAGGUUAGCGCAAGCGAAGCUUUGAACUUAAGCCCCAGUAAACGGCGGCCGUAACUAUAACGGUCCUAAGGUAGCGAAAUUCCUUGUCGGGUAAGUUCCGACCC
Molecule: ribosomal RNA, 1153 nt
Filed under: human gut metagenome
Description: bacterial LSU rRNA
Rfam family: Bacterial large subunit ribosomal RNA
Source: RNAcentral